UGAUCCAGUCCUUGCCUCAGGUGAUCAAUCAGUGGUUCAGGCCAUGACUCAACAAUUCCCAUACACAGGCAUUUAAGCAAUGGGUGCUUUUACAGCUACGGUUUUCCACUCGAUGCUGCUGUUGGAGUGGAUUGCUGAGCUUUGUUUUGUCAGCAAGGUGACACACGGACUCAUCUGAGCAGAGACAGCGAUAACUGACAGGAGGAUUGCUUGUUUGAAGAACUGGGCUCAGAGGAGUGCGCUCCAUGAAUUCUCCAAGCAGAAGCCACAGUGUGUGAAUGUGUUCCAUCUCCUCCUGUGUCCUCCGUGUGCAGCUCCCUGCUCCUUCUCUGUCUUAGUUAGAAGGUGAAAGCUUCCACUGCCACUGCUAAAACACCAGAAAAAAGUUUUAUUGCUUCAGUCAGCAACUUCUCCACUAGAUCAGUUUGAGAACAUGCCAGCAGAAGUAAGACUUAGCUGCUUCUGAUAACUUACUGAUGAGAAACCGUCUUCAGGCUCUUCUCAUACAUUAACAUGGCUGCUUGCUUCACUUAUUUUCCUGUAUUCUCUUUGGGAUACACAGAAAAUAAGGCUAUAAUAAUGUUGUCCUCUCUUGUCUUCUUUCACAAACAUUAAUCCCAUGAUUUUUUAUCAGUACAAAAUAACCCUGGAGAUAGGGCAGUCUGUGGAUCAGCUUGUAUGAAACUAGAAAACUGAAAUUAUUAUGUUUAAUUGUGUGUGAAAGUCAACUUUUGUCAAAAUCUCUAGCUGUGACUGGGUUCUUACAAAAUGCAAUGUAUUCUUUUCUUUAGCAGAUCACCUAAACGCAUUUUACUAGCAACCCUUCUGAACCAGAUGAAACUGUAAUUCAAGCUGUCUUGUCUGCUUCUGCUUUAGUUCACAAUAAUGUCACCAUGCAGCUCACACCAAAGACUUUAGUUUUUGUUUGGACAGCCACAUCAAGUAUUUUGUCCUAGUUUUUCUGCAGAUCAUUACUGAUAAGGUAGCUUCUCUAAAAUAAUAAAAUCCACAACCUUCCA
Long non-coding RNA from Tympanuchus pallidicinctus (lesser prairie-chicken), 1019 nucleotides. RefSeq lists it as uncharacterized. The transcript has 3 exons. Lineage: Eukaryota; Metazoa; Chordata; Aves; Galliformes; Phasianidae. The record is from RefSeq and is a predicted model, not a curated record.